Long non-coding RNA from Aethina tumida (small hive beetle), 649 nucleotides. RefSeq lists it as uncharacterized. The record is from RefSeq and is a predicted model, not a curated record. The transcript is spliced from 3 exons. Lineage: Eukaryota; Metazoa; Arthropoda; Insecta; Coleoptera; Nitidulidae.
CUCAAAGUAACAGGUAUAAGAAGGUCUGUUCAGUCAUGGUCAAUUUCAGAUAUAUCUGGUUAAUUGGAUUUUAAUCUUGGUUAUAGCCUGAACGUGGUGACAGAUAUCUUGAUCAAAAUAUGGUAAAAAGUGUUACUUUUGGUAGUAAUUCUGUAACAGUAUGGGGUGGAAUUUAUUUAGAGAGGAGUCAAGAAUUUUGACCAGAUUGUGGCCCCUGCCUUUACCUACGAUCCAAUUGAACACGUAUGAGACUGUCUUGAAAGAUAGCAUCGAAAAAAUCAUCAGCGUUAUCACUCGUCAAAAUUUAAAUUGAAUGUAAACCUUGGAGUCUCUCUACCAUGAAAAGAGUGUCGUAAUUUUAAGUUCACAAAUGAAUCUGGAACAUUAGGGGAGUCCUCUUAUAUAGUACACACUUUUAUAACUCAUACUGCACAUUCUAGAACACACACGAGAUUUCUGUGUUAUUCCUAAAAACUACAAAAAAUCCUUCAGAUACGUAUUUUAAAAUUAACAUUAAAAGGGUGAUCAAAGAAAUCAAUUACAGUUUUAAUCUAUUAAUUAUGGAUAUUUCGUCAAUAAAAAUGAACGUCCCAUACUAAUACCACUCCAGUCAUUAGAAGAAUAAAUAAGAAAAUUCAAAUGACCCUCA